CCUACGGGUGGCAGCAGUGAGGAAUAUUGGUCAAUGGGCGGGAGGCUGAACCAGCCAAGCCGCGUGAGGGAAGAAGGCGCAGAGCGUCGCAGACCUCUUUUGCCGGGGGACAAAAGGCCGGACUCGUCCGGUCCUGAGGGUACCCGGAGAAAAAGCAUCGGCUAACUCCGUGCCAGCAGCCGCGGUAAUACGGAGGAUGCGAGCGUUAUCCGGAUUCAUUGGGUUUAAAGGGUGCGCAGGCGGGCCAUUAAGGCGGUGGUGAAAUUGGGGGGCUCAACCCCGCCGAGCCGUUGGGACUGGGGUGCCUGGAGGGCGGCGGAGGCAGGCGGAAUGCGGGGUG
This 340-nucleotide ribosomal RNA is filed under the name uncultured bacterium. RNAcentral's name for it is "partial 16S ribosomal RNA". It matches the Rfam family "Bacterial small subunit ribosomal RNA", at positions 338 to 675 of the family's 1533-position model. The record is from RNAcentral.